GCAUGUAGAGCAGAAGCUCAUUUGAAGCUACACCAAUUAGGGGAUGCUGAAAUGUGCGUAAUCGAAGCUCAGAAGCAUGAAUUACUUGCUGCAGCACGCGAGUUAAAUUUUUUUGGGAUGUUCUUUGAAGCGUACAUAUUAUCUGUUCAGGCUCAGAUUCAUAUGGCUUUUGGAAGGUUUGAAAAUACACUUGCUGCCAUUGAGAAAGCUGGGAAUGUUGAUCCACGAAGUGCUGAACUUGUUAUUUUACAUACGAACAUAAGGAUGGUGGGGCAAGCUUGUGCUCGUGGCAAUGAGUUGUUUAGAUCUGAAAGAUAUACUGAAGCUUGUAUUGCUUAUGGAGUGAUUCUUCAAAUUUGAUUCUCUACUGCAAUAGAGCAGCAUGCUGGUAUAAACUUGAAGAGUGGGAAAAAUCUCUUGAUGAUUGCAACCAUGCUCUCCAUAUCCAGCCAUAUUAUACUAAAGCGAAUUUCAAGCUGCAAAGAUGGGCUGAAGAUGUGAGAGAUUAUAAGGUUUUGCGGAGGGAACUUCUACGUGACAAUGAUGUUGCUGCAUCAUUGUUCCAUGCUCAAGCUGAGUGGAGGUUUUGGGGACUGAUUUCUUGUAUCCACAACCAUUGUGGUUGUGCUAAGUGACUGAUUUUCUACAUCUUUUCUGAUUUGAACUAAAAGGGAAGUGUUUCUGCUAAUUUCUACUUCUGUCAUGUUAUUUGUUGCAGUGAGUUGUUGUGCAAUAGCAAGAUUGCUAUUAUCCAUCUUGGUUUCUGCAUUAUUGUCCCCUUCUUCCUCAUUUAUUUCUUUGUUCUUAUUGCUAUAGUUUUCUAUUAUUAUUCCUAUGUGAUGUUGUGUAGUAGUUGUGCUACUGCUGUUCAACAUGCUUAUCGUAGGUAUUAAUCAUCUUUCUUCAUUCAUCUGGUGCAUCUGCUUGCUUAUGAACCUUUUCAGGCCUACAAUCCUUGUUGGUUUCUUUUUGCUAUAUAUAUAUAUAUAUAUAUUUGAUCAAGUGCUUGCUACGCCAUUUAUCAAUGUAUAAAAGACACUAGAAGGUUCUGUUGCAAAUGUAGAACUUUAGGAAUGCAGAACUUAUAGAAAAUUUUCAUUUCUUUAAGUCCAGACAGUGUGGAAUUGAUAUAACCUUAAUAGAUGAACUUUUACAGUAGCAUUGACCUUGUAUAUGGGUAAAAUUUUGCAGAAAUUCUUAAAUGGGGGAGUAGAUGUACCUCUUCCUACGGCCUUGACACAUAGGAAGAAAAAGCCGGAAGAAAUAGAGGCGAUGAGAACAAAAAUUAAAGAUUUGACGCAAUACUGUGCAAAAUUUGCCAAGUUUAAGGCGUUAGUCAAGAAGCAUAUGCUGCAAGUAUUUGAGGAUGGGGAAGAUAGUGAAUCAGAUGAUUAGAUUACAUUGAAAUUGUUGAUUCUUGUUUAUGAUUGUGACAUUUAGACUUAAACUAUUA
This is a long non-coding RNA of Capsicum annuum, 1453 nucleotides long. RefSeq lists it as uncharacterized. The transcript has 3 exons. The record is from RefSeq and is a predicted model, not a curated record. NCBI's taxonomy places the organism in Eukaryota, Viridiplantae, Streptophyta, Magnoliopsida, Solanales, Solanaceae.